CGGACGGGUGAGUAACGCGUGGGUAACCUGCCUUGUACUGGGGGACAACAGUUAGAAAUGACUGCUAAUACCGCAUAAGCGCACAGUAUCGCAUGAUACCGUGUGAAAAACUCCGGUGGUACAAGAUGGACCCGCGUCUGAUUAGCUAGUUGGUAAGGUAACGGCUUACCAAGGCGACGAUCAGUAGCCGACCUGAGAGGGUGACCGGUCACAUUGGGACUGAGACACGGCCCAA
Molecule: ribosomal RNA, 235 nt
Filed under: uncultured bacterium
Lineage: Bacteria
Description: partial 16S ribosomal RNA
Rfam family: Bacterial small subunit ribosomal RNA
Source: RNAcentral